This 468-nucleotide ribosomal RNA is filed under the name uncultured bacterium. Its description in RNAcentral is "partial 16S ribosomal RNA". It matches the Rfam family "Bacterial small subunit ribosomal RNA", at positions 28 to 507 of the family's 1533-position model. The record is from RNAcentral.
GACGAACGCUGGCGGCGCGCUUAACACAUGCAAGUCGAACGGAAAGGCCCUGCUUUUGUGGGGUGCUCGAGUGGCGAACGGGUGAGUAACACGUGAGUAACCUGCCCUUGACUUUGGGAUAACUUCAGGAAACUGGGGCUAAUACCGGAUAGGAGCUCCUGCUGCAUGGUGGGGGUUGGAAAGUUUCGGCGGUUGGGGAUGGACUCGCGGCUUAUCAGCUUGUUGGUGGGGUAGUGGCUUACCAAGGCUUUGACGGGUAGCCGGCCUGAGAGGGUGACCGGCCACAUUGGGACUGAGAUACGGCCCAGACUCCUACGGGAGGCAGCAGUGGGAAAUAUUGCACAAUGGGCGGAAGCCUAAUGCAGCAACGCCGCGUGCGGGAUGACGGCCUUCGGGUUGUAAACCGCUUUCGCCUGUGACGAAGCGUGAGUGACGGUAAUGGGUAAAGAAGCACCGGCUAACUACGUG